Non-coding RNA from Pseudophryne corroboree (corroboree frog), 74 nucleotides. The record is from the annotation of a RefSeq genome assembly. NCBI's taxonomy places the organism in Eukaryota, Metazoa, Chordata, Amphibia, Anura, Myobatrachidae.
GGCUGGUUAGCUCAGUUGGUUAGAGCUUGGUGCUAGUAAUGCCAAGGUCAUGGGUUCGAUCCUUGUAUUGGCUA